CAGUAGCCGCGGGAAUACGUAGGUGGCAAGCGUUGUCCGGAAUUAUUGGGCGUAAAGCGCGCGCAGGCGGCUGUGUAAGUCUGUCUAGAAAGUGCGGGGCUAAACCCCGUGAGAGGAUGGAAACUGGACAGCUGAGAGUGUCGGAGAGGAAAGCGGAAUUCCUAGUGUAGCGGUGAAAUGCGUAGAUAUUGGGAGGAACACCGGUGGCGAAAGCGGCUUUCUGGACGACAACUGACGCUGAGGCGCGAAAGCCAGGGGAGCAAACGGGAUUAGAGACCCCAGUAGUCCCUGUCUCUUAUAC
Molecule: ribosomal RNA, 301 nt
Filed under: uncultured bacterium
Lineage: Bacteria
Description: partial 16S ribosomal RNA
Rfam family: Bacterial small subunit ribosomal RNA
Source: RNAcentral